AGGACGAACGCUGGCGGCGUGCCUAAUACAUGCAAGUCGAGCGGACCUUUCAAAAGCUUGCUUUUGGAAGAUCAGCGGCGGACGGGUGAGUAACACGUGGGCAACCUGCCUGUGAGACUGGGAUAACUUCGGGAAACCGGAGCUAAUACCGGAUAAUAUAAGGAACCUCCUGGUUCUUUAUUGAAAGAUGGUUUCGGCUAUCACUCACAGAUGGGCCCGCGGCGCAUUAGCUAGUUGGUGAGGUAACGGCUCACCAAGGCGACGAUGCGUAGCCGACCUGAGAGGGUGAUCGGCCACACUGGGACUGAGACACGGCCCAGACUCCUACGGGAGGCAGCAGUAGGGAAUCUUCCACAAUGGACGAAAGUCUGAUGGAGCAACGCCGCGUGAGCGAUGAAGGCCUUCGGGUCGUAAAGCUCUGUUGUUAGGGAAGAACAAGUGCGAGAGUAACUGCUCGCACCUUGACGGUACCUAACCAGAAAGCCACGGCUAACUACGUGCCAGCAGCCGCGGUAAUACGUAGGUGGCAAGCGUUGUCCGGAAUUAUUGGGCGUAAAGCGCGCGCAGGUGGUCCUUUAAGUCUGAUGUGAAAGCCCACGGCUCAACCGUGGAGGGUCAUUGGAAACUGGGGGACUUGAGUGCAGAAGAGGAAAGUGGAAUUCCAAGUGUAGCGGUGAAAUGCGUAGAGAUUUGGAGGAACACCAGUGGCGAAGGCGACUUUCUGGUCUGUAACUGACACUGAGGCGCGAAAGCGUGGGGAGCAAACAGGAUUAGAUACCCUGGUAGUCCACGCCGUAAACGAUGAGUGCUAAGUGUUAGAGGGUUUCCGCCCUUUAGUGCUGCAGCUAACGCAUUAAGCA
RNAcentral lists this ribosomal RNA (860 nucleotides) under Bacillus sp. (in: firmicutes). RNAcentral's name for it is "bacterial SSU rRNA". It matches the Rfam family "Bacterial small subunit ribosomal RNA", at positions 26 to 866 of the family's 1533-position model. Lineage: Bacteria; Bacillati; Bacillota; Bacilli; Caryophanales; Bacillaceae. The record is from RNAcentral.